CCUAUCCUCAAUUUGGCACGAGGGCCUCGUCAGGGAUAGAAGCGCAUCUCGUCAUGUCGCAAGAAUGGAUAUCGUUACACUGAAAAGAAGAGAUAUAUAGAAUUGUCUUACACUCGCCACAAGCUACAUCAGAGUCACAUCAGUACGUUACAUAAUCAUCAAGAGUAAGAGCAGGGUCCGACUACGGACGAAAAUAAACGGCAAAAGAAGAACGACGUCCAUCCUUGCUAUCCCAUGCUGCCGGCCUGGAACCCAUCCUAGAUCGAAGAAGAAGAAGAAGAAGAAGCAACUCCAAAUGAUCAAUGAACGCGCUCGCGUCAAGCAACCUUUACCUGUACCUGCAACUGGUGUUGUAGUAAUCUGUGAGCCACAGGGGACUCAGCAAUCUCAUUUCCAAAGGUAUCAAGACUAGCAAAGCUUAAUGGGUGACGUAUGGUUAAGUGGUGAGCUUGCAGCAGCGCCUAAGCAUAUAUUUGGUGGCUAACUUACGAGUACAAGAAGUAAGAGGGGAAAGAUCUACGCAUAACGGACGUGAACUACUCAUGAUCAAAAGGAUGAUCGUGAACACCUACCUACGUCAGACAUAACCCCACCGUGUCCUCGAUCGGAGAAGGAACUCACGAAGGAGACAGUCACGGUUACGCACACCGUUGGCAAGUUUUAAUUAAGUUAACUUCAAGUUAUCUAGAACCAGUGUUAAACAAAGUAUCCACGUUGCCACAUAACCGCGGGCACGGCUUUCCGAAAGAUUUAACCCUGCAGGGGUGCUCCAACUAGUCCAUCACAAAUUACCACAAGCCGCAUAGAAAUCCUCAAUCACGAAGCUCGCGAUCUCGUCGGAUUCCCUAGUGGAAAACCUCAACUCUGAGAUUACCCAAAGCAUCACCGGAAUCCCGAUGCACAAGAUAUCUCGUCAAAGGUAAAACUAAUCCAGCAAGGCCGCCCGACGUGUCGACGAUCCCGAUAGGAGUCGCGUACCUCGUUCUCAGGACACGGCGGAUGAGCUAGACGUCGGGAUCGCUAAACCUCCGGGUGACCAGAGGGGCGCCGGACAUCGCUCAGGUGGGACCAACACUCAUGAGGAGCACUGGCCCGGGGGUUGAUUAAAUUAUCCUCGGGGUCCGGAAAGUCCCUAUGCAAUUUUAUUAGGUGUUUAGGCAAAUGUAGUACCAAAGUUGGGCCCUGCCAGACCAGCUUUAAUCUAAAACGAAUUAUCAAGGGGGUCCCCAUAACAACCCCGAUCGUGUUAGGAGCGCUCAUUUAUGGAACAUAACACCGGUAGCCGAAACUAAGGGGGCAAAGGUGGAACAAAACACCAGGCUAGAAAGGCCGAGCCUUCCACCUUUUACCAAGUAUAUAGGUGCAUUAAAAUAGAAAACAUAAAAUAUGGUGAUAUAACAAGGAACCCAUGCUUUGCAUGGAAGCAAUGCACCUGCAACUAGCAACGCUAUCAACAGGGUUAAGCAAGCAGUAACAUAGCCAAUCAGUGGUUUGCUAGGUUGAACAGGUUGAUCGUUUCAUGGCAUUGUAGAGAGGCUGAUAUUUAACAGGUGGUAGGCAACGAGACGUAAACGAUAGCAACGGUAAAACUAGCAUGGCAAUGAUAGUAAUGGUAUCUGGGGAAAUGAUCAUCUUGCCUGAGAUCCCGCUUGGAAGAAGAAUGACUCCGCGAAGCAGACGAACCGACGUAGUCGAACGGCCCUCACAUCCGACACGCUUGCGGAACUCUAUCGAGACGGAGGAAACCGGAAACAAGCAUCAACACACGAUAUACACCACACGAUGCAAGACACACAUGAUGCAUGAACGGUCUAAUGCAAGGCGUGACAAUCACAACAAUCAAACACUACACAUUAAGUGAAGCUCGAUAUGCAACGAGUUGCAUAUCGACGAAACUCCACGUUGAAUUAUUUAGUUCACUCCCGUUCAGGUACACGGAUAUAUUAAAUGUUGUUAAACCUGGCACGAGGGUGAAGCAAAAAUUAAUCUACCUAGCUAGUCAUUUUAAAUGAGACCGGAAACGACAUAUAGCAUCUCCGAAAUGACCCCACGUGUUAAAUCUCAAUUCUGCCCAGAUUUGUCCUAAACACAUUUUAUAUUUGUUAAACGGAGAAACAAAGUGGAACACGUGAUUCUACUCGUCGUUCUGGUCCAUUUACAUAUAUGGCACAUCUCCAACGGAGCUACGGACAAAUAGUUACGACCUAAACCGUUUUCAACACGUCGAGACGCAAACCGAUGCAAACAACACACUAAACAGAUCUAAUUAUGCAUGAGAGUUGGUUUUUGUGAAACUACAGAAAAUUCUAAGCAACUUACGUGUGGAAAACAUUUUAAUCCGGUCCACGGUUAAAUUUAUAUGAAUUUUACAAACGGGCAUUUGAGUCUGUUCAAAAUAUAAAAAAAUGGAAUUGCUAGGACUUGAACCCN
This 2430-nucleotide long non-coding RNA is filed under the name Hordeum vulgare. RNAcentral's name for it is "long non-coding RNA (HVUL_LNC020115)". The record is from RNAcentral. Lineage: Eukaryota; Viridiplantae; Streptophyta; Magnoliopsida; Poales; Poaceae.